This 125-nucleotide microRNA precursor is filed under the name Olea europaea subsp. europaea. Lineage: Eukaryota; Viridiplantae; Streptophyta; Magnoliopsida; Lamiales; Oleaceae. The record is from RNAcentral.
AAUGAUCCUACAGGGGCGACCUGAGAACACACGUUGAAACACUUUUUUCACGUGGCUUUUUAAAAGUCAAGAAACGAUGAAAUUGUGAUAUACACGUGUUCUCAUAUCGACCCUGUUGGACCCUU